AACAGGAUUAGAUACCCUGGUAGUCCACGCUGUAAACGAUGUCGACUUGGAGGUUGUGCCCUUGAGGCGUGGCUUCCGGAGCUAACGCGUUAAGUCGACCGCCUGGGGAGUACGGCCGCAAGGUUAAAACUCAAAUGAAUUGACGGGGGCCCGCACAAGCGGUGGAGCAUGUGGUUUAAUUCGAUGCAACGCGAAGAGCCUUACCUACUCUUGACAUCCAGAGAAUUUGCUAGAGAUAGCUUAGUGCCUUCGGGAACUCUGAGGCAGGUGCUGCAUGGCUGUCGUCAGCUCGUGUUGUGAAAUGUUGGGUUAAGUCCCGCAACGAGCGCAACCCUUAUCCUUUGUUGCCAGCACGUAAUGGUGGGAACUCAAAGGAGACUGCCGGUGAUAAACCGGAGGAAGGUGGGGAUGACGUCAAGUCAUCAUGGCCCUUACGAGUAGGGCUACACACGUGCUACAAUGGCAUAUACAAAGAGAUGCGAACACGCGAGAGCAAGCGGACCUCAUAAAGUAUGUCGUAGUCCGGAUUGGAGUCUGCAACUCGACUCCAUGAAGUCGGAAUCGCUAGUAAUCGUAGAUCAGAAUGCUACGGUGAAUACGUUCCCGGGCCUUGUACACACCGCCCGUCACACCAUGGGAGUGGGUUGCAAAAGAAGUAGGUAGCUUAACCUUCGGGAGGGCGCUUACCACUUUGUGAUUCAUGACCGGGGUGAAGUCGUAACAAGGUAACC
RNAcentral lists this ribosomal RNA (731 nucleotides) under uncultured bacterium. RNAcentral describes it as "bacterial SSU rRNA". It matches the Rfam family "Bacterial small subunit ribosomal RNA", at positions 771 to 1501 of the family's 1533-position model. The record is from RNAcentral.